CUUCUUCACAUCCUGGAACCAGCGCGGCGGCCGCGCUGUUCCAGGAUGUGCAGAAACCUUCUCGGGAUGAGUGGGGUAAAACCGUGGAAGCCAUGGAAGCCGCCCUGGCCUGGAGAAGAGCCUGAACCAGGCCAUUGUGGAUCUCCAUGCCUUGGGUUCUGCUCGCACAGACCCCCAUCUCUGUGACUUUCUAGAGAGCCACUUCCUGGAUGAAGAGGUGAAGCUCAUCAAGAAGAUGGGCGACCACUUAACCAACCUCCGCAGGCUGGGGGCGGCCCCUCAGGCCCAGCUGGGCGAGGAUCUUUCCGAACGCCUCACCCUCAAACAC
Molecule: long non-coding RNA, 328 nt
Organism: Dipodomys spectabilis (banner-tailed kangaroo rat)
Lineage: Eukaryota; Metazoa; Chordata; Mammalia; Rodentia; Heteromyidae
Exons: 3
Source: RefSeq, a predicted model, not a curated record